CCUACGGGAGGCAGCAGUGGGGAAUAUUGGACAAUGGGCGAAAGCCUGAUCCAGCAAUGCCGCGUGAGUGAUGAAGGCCUUAGGGUUGUAAAGCUCUUUUACCCGGGAUGAUAAUGACAGUACCGGGAGAAUAAGCUCCGGCUAACUCCGUGCCAGCAGCCGCGGUAAUACGGAGGGAGCUAGCGUUAUUCGGAAUUACUGGGCGUAAAGCGCACGUAGGCGGCUUUGUAAGUAAGAGGUGAAAGCCUGGUGCUCAACACCAGAACUGCCUUUUAGACUGCAUCGCUUGAAUCCAGGAGAGGUGAGUGGAAUUCCGAGUGUAGAGGUGAAAUUCGUAGAUAUUCGGAAGAACACCAGUGGCGAAGGCGGCUCACUGGACUGGUAUUGACGCUGAGGUGCGAAAGCGUGGGGAGCAAACNGGAUUAGAUACCCUGGUAGUCCACGCCGUAAACGAUGAUAACUAGCUGUCGGGGCUCUUAGAGCUUCGGUGGCGCAGCUACGACAUAAGUUAUCGCCGUCGGGAGGUACGGCCGCGAACGGUUAAAACGUUAAACGUAAGUAAGUUAGACGGACGUGAGACGUAGCCGACGACGACGACGAGGGAGUUAGG
Molecule: ribosomal RNA, 610 nt
Filed under: uncultured bacterium
Lineage: Bacteria
Description: bacterial SSU rRNA
Rfam family: Bacterial small subunit ribosomal RNA (bases 1-516)
Source: RNAcentral